This is a long non-coding RNA of Uloborus diversus, 451 nucleotides long. RefSeq lists it as uncharacterized. The record is from RefSeq and is a predicted model, not a curated record. Lineage: Eukaryota; Metazoa; Arthropoda; Arachnida; Araneae; Uloboridae. The transcript is spliced from 2 exons.
UCUCAAAAUGAAGGUAGUCCUCGUAUUUCUGGUGGUAGCCGCUGUAGCCUCAGCCCAACACUACAUGAGCUCCCACCACUCCUCAGGCGUCAGAAUGGGACAUGUUGCAGCUCACCAAAUGGGACACAACAGCGGACAUUUGAGAAGCGGGCAUGGACUGCAGCUUGGACAUUCUUCUGGAAUUCGCAGCUCUCAUCAUGGAAACUUGGGACAUUCUUCGAGCCACUCUCGAUUGGUCCGUAGUCCUCAACAUCAUGGUUCACACUCUUCACACAUGGGAGGCAUGGCCGGACGCUCACAUGGCUCUGCUCAUUCAGGAAGCAUGGCUGGACGAUCUCGCGCUUCUGGUCACGCUACAGGGAUGUCUGGACAUCGUUCUAUGCACAGUGGUGCCACGCAUCAUGGUUGAAUUCGAGUUUUGUAGUAAAAUAAAUUCUGUUGCGUUGAAGAA